This 497-nucleotide ribosomal RNA is filed under the name Listeria monocytogenes. RNAcentral's name for it is "partial 23S ribosomal RNA". It matches the Rfam family "Bacterial large subunit ribosomal RNA", at positions 178 to 673 of the family's 2925-position model. Lineage: Bacteria; Bacillati; Bacillota; Bacilli; Caryophanales; Listeriaceae. The record is from RNAcentral.
GGCAGACCCAGGGAACUGAAACAUCUAAGUACCUGGAGGAAGAGAAAGAAAAAUCGAUUUCCUGAGUAGCGGCGAGCGAAACGGAAAGAGCCCAAACCAAGAAGCUUGCUUCUUGGGGUUGUAGGACACUCUAUACGGAGUUACAAAAGAAAGUUAUAAAUGAAGCGGUCUGGAAAGGCCCGCCAAAGACGGUAACAGCCCGGUAGUUGAAAUGGCUUUCCCUCCAGAGUGGAUCCUGAGUACGGCGGAACACGUGAAAUUCCGUCGGAAUCCGGGAGGACCAUCUCCCAAGGCUAAAUACUCCCUAGUGACCGAUAGUGAACCAGUACCGUGAGGGAAAGGUGAAAAGCACCCCGGAAGGGGAGUGAAACAGUUCCUGAAACCGUGUGCCUACAAGUAGUUAGAGCCCGUUAAUGGGUGAUAGCGUGCCUUUUGUAGAAUGAACCGGCGAGUUACGAUUUGUUGCAAGGUUAAGCGGAAAAAGCGGAGCCGUAGCG